This 425-nucleotide ribosomal RNA is filed under the name Legionella pneumophila. RNAcentral's name for it is "partial 23S ribosomal RNA". It matches the Rfam family "Bacterial large subunit ribosomal RNA", at positions 1 to 457 of the family's 2925-position model. Lineage: Bacteria; Pseudomonadati; Pseudomonadota; Gammaproteobacteria; Legionellales; Legionellaceae. The record is from RNAcentral.
UUAUAUGGUCAAGAAGAGAAGCGCAAACGGUGGAUGCCUUGGCAGUAAGAGGCGAAGAAGGACGUGGAAUCCUGCGAAAAGCUAUGGGGAGCUGGAAACGAGCGUUGAGCCAUAGAUGUCCGAAUGGGGGAACCCGGCUGCAGCGAUGCGGUCAUUUGCAUUUGAAUACAUAGGAUGCAAAGGCGAACUCGGGGAACUGAAACAUCUAAGUACCCGAAGGAAAAGAAAUCAAGAGAGAUUCUCCAAGUAGCGGCGAGCGAACGGGGAGGAGCCUGGCGUGAUUUAUUAUUGAACUGAGUAGAACAAUUUGGGAAAGUUGGCCGAAGAGGGUGAAAGCCCCGUAUACGAAGGUUUGAUGAGGAACUAGGCACGCGAACAAGUAGGCCGGGACACGUGAAAUCCUGGUUGAAGAUGGGUGGACCAUC